Molecule: ribosomal RNA, 493 nt
Filed under: uncultured bacterium
Lineage: Bacteria
Description: partial 16S ribosomal RNA
Rfam family: Bacterial small subunit ribosomal RNA
Source: RNAcentral
AUUGAACGCUGGCGGCAUGCUUUACACAUGCAAGUCGAACGGUAACAGGUUAAGCUGACGAGUGGCGAACGGGUGAGUAAUGCAUCGGAACGUGCCCGAUCGUGGGGGAUAACGCAGCGAAAGCUGCGCUAAUACCGCAUACGAUCUGAGGAUGAAAGCGGGGGACCGUAAGGCCUCGCGCGAUCGGAGCGGCCGGUGUCGGAUUAGGUAGUUGGUGGGGUAAAGGCUCACCAAGCCAACGAUCUGUAGCUGGUCUGAGAGGACGACCAGCCACACUGGGACUGAGACACGGCCCAGACUCCUACGGGAGGCAGCAGUGGGGAAUUUUGGACAAUGGGCGAAAGCCUGAUCCAGCAAUGCCGCGUGCAGGAAGAAGGCCUUCGGGUUGUAAACUGCUUUUGUACGGAGCGAAAAGGCUCUCUCUAAUACAGGGGGCUCAUGACGGUACCGUAAGAAUAAGCACCGGCUAACUACGUGCCAGCCGCCGCAGUAA